This 359-nucleotide ribosomal RNA is filed under the name Meloidogyne incognita (southern root-knot nematode). RNAcentral's name for it is "partial 16S ribosomal RNA". Lineage: Eukaryota; Metazoa; Nematoda; Chromadorea; Rhabditida; Meloidogynidae. The record is from RNAcentral.
ACUUUUAGCGUGAUUGGUCAAAGGUAGCGAGAUAAUUUGUUUUUUUAUUGGAUUCUAGUAUGAAUGGAUUUUUUGUUAUUAAAUAUAUUGAUUUUAAAAAGAAUUUUAAAUUUAUUUAAAAAAUAAUAAAUAAAAUAAAACUAAGAAAAGUCUUUAGAAAUUUAUUAUUUAAUUUAAUUAGGGAAAUAAAAUAAUUAAUAUUUUUUUCUUAAUCAAAAAAAAAAAUUUCUCUAGAGUUAACAGGAAUAAAUAUUAAUUUAUUAUUUUUACAUCGAUGUUGUUUUAUUUAAUAUUAAAAAUGAGAAACUUUUGAGUGAGAGACUGUUCUUCUUUUUUUAAUACGUGAAAUUAGUUUAAUU